RNAcentral lists this long non-coding RNA (585 nucleotides) under Gossypium raimondii (Peruvian cotton). Its description in RNAcentral is "long non-coding RNA (GRAI_LNC002366)". The record is from RNAcentral. Lineage: Eukaryota; Viridiplantae; Streptophyta; Magnoliopsida; Malvales; Malvaceae.
UUAUAGAUAGUCCCUGCAUUAUGUGUUUUUGACUAAUCUAGUCCUUUUAUUAUAGUUUCAUCAUUUCUUAGUCUUUUACUUCUCGAGAUGUAUAUUUUCAAUCACGAUGUCAACUUUUACGUACUAUAAAAAAUAUUAAAAUGCAUACGUCAUAUUACCAUAUUAAGAUGUAUUUUCUCAAGAAUUAGGACAAAUUUGAGAAAUUUAGGAUGGAGAUUAAGGAACGGGGUUCCAUGGCCAACCUUCUUUAGGGUGUUAGUAUGGCGAAUAUGGAAGAAUAGAAAUCUCUUUAUUUUUCAGGGACUUUCUUGAACUUUUUAGAAACCAUUAAAAUCUCUUUAUGCUGGGUAGCACAAUAUAGCUUAGCACAAAGUUGGGAUUAUAGGAAAUUAUAGGAAUAGUAGGAUUGAUGAAUGAUUGUAUUAGGAAGUUAGAUCAGUUAGGUUUUUUUCACAAAAAGGAAAUUAAAUGUGAAACUACCAAUUAUAUGAAGGAAGGAAGAUAAAACAAAAAAUUUGAGAGGUGAAAGUUAAACAUUUUGUAUUAAAAAUAAUUUAAAUCAAAAUUUUAACUUUUGGAAGGGAC